CCCUUCGGGGACAAAGUGACAGGUGGUGCAUGGUUGUCGUCAGCUCGUGUCGUGAGAUGUUGGGUUAAGUCCCGCAACGAGCGCAACCCUUGAUUUUAGUUGCCAGCAUUUAGUUGGGCACUCUAAAGUGACUGCCGGUGCAAGCCGGAGGAAGGUGGGGAUGACGUCAAAUCAUCAUGCCCCUUAUGACCUGGGCUACACACGUGCUACAAUGGAUAGUACAAAGGGUCGCGAAGCCGCGAGGUGGAGCUAAUCCCAUAAAACUAUUCUCAGUUCGGAUUGUAGGCUGCAACUCGCCUACAUGAAGCCGGAAUCGCUAGUAAUCGUGGAUCAGCAUGCCACGGUGAAUACGUUCCCGGGCCUUGUACACACCGCCCGUCACACCACGAGAGUUUGUAACACCC
RNAcentral lists this ribosomal RNA (404 nucleotides) under Listeria monocytogenes. RNAcentral describes it as "bacterial SSU rRNA". It matches the Rfam family "Bacterial small subunit ribosomal RNA", at positions 1016 to 1422 of the family's 1533-position model. Lineage: Bacteria; Bacillati; Bacillota; Bacilli; Caryophanales; Listeriaceae. The record is from RNAcentral.